This is a long non-coding RNA of Heterocephalus glaber (naked mole-rat), 1263 nucleotides long. Lineage: Eukaryota; Metazoa; Chordata; Mammalia; Rodentia; Bathyergidae. The record is from Ensembl.
GUUUGUUGGGAAAUGAGGAUGUGCAGUUUAUGGGCCACUCAAUUCUGCCUGACAUUUUUACACAUUUAAUCCCCUUAAAGUAGCUUGUGUUCCAAUCUAGUCUUUGCUGCUUAAUUUAUUAUAAUCUUGAGACAAGUCAUUUUUAUCCCAGCUCCUUCACUUGUAAAAUAGGUACUAAAUCCCUUCCUCAAAGAGCCCUUUACUCAGCAAAAAUAAAUUUUAAAAAUGUCUGUUGGGCCUCUACUAUAUGCUAAAGCUAACAGUGGCAAAUACAACCAAGUCUUAGUUGUCACAGACCUUAUAUUCUAGCCUGGGAGACUGCACAGGCAUCAUUACAAACAAAUGCUUCAUGCUUCAAAGGAAAUCGGGUAACAAGAAAACUGGGGAAGGCCUAAGACGACAUUUGAGUUGAGACAUACCAUCCAGAUGAGAUGAGCCAGCCGACGGAAGAGCAGCCAAGGCAAGAGAAACAGCAAGUGCAACAACCCAAUGUGGGGAAGGGCUUGGUGUGUCUGAGAAGAAGAAACUAAGUAUAGCUGGCUUGGUAUGUCUGAGAAAAAAAAUUAAGUUUAGCUGGGAAUGCUAAGGGAAGAAUGAUAGGAGGUGAAAUAAGAAACAUAGCAAGAAGUAGAUUUGAGGAAGCUAGUUUAGAUUUUGUUCCCUGAGCAAAAGGAAACUGUUAGGGUUUAUAUAUCUGGAUGUCCCCCUGAUAAAGGACAUAUAUGAUCUAUGGACCUCCAAAUAAUGAAAGGGAAAUAUGACUCCCGACCUGCUUGAUACCAUACAUGCUAAGUUCUGUUUUUCUAAAAUCAAAGGAUGAAAAAAAAAAUAAAAUCAAAGAAUGAAUUCUAGGAAGAAUAGAAGUUAACAGUAGGAAGAAUUUAUUGAGAGAAAGAAAGCUUCUAAGAGAGACAGAAAGCGGGGGUUGGCACUGGAAAGUGCUCCCCCCAUUCUCAAGGGUGUUUCAUUGAGCAAAGCCACGAAGUGAAGCGGGUUUAAGGUAGAACAAAACUGCAGUCAACUAAGAAGAUUAAAAGUUUAGUCUCUUAGGUAAUAUUGAUCCAAUGGGAAAUCGCAAGCUCCUGCCCUUUGCUCUCUGCUUCCUGCUAUGAGGUGAGCAGCUUUCCUCCACCAAGGCCCUUCUGCCAUGCCACAGAACAUAUAAGGAGUGAAACUGCUAAAAUGCUAGCCAAUUCAGUGCCUGCCUCGAAAGCACAAGGUCCUGAGUUCCAUCCACAGUAUAAAAAAAAAAAAAGUUAGCCA